Molecule: ribosomal RNA, 419 nt
Filed under: bacterium
Lineage: Bacteria
Description: partial 16S ribosomal RNA
Rfam family: Bacterial small subunit ribosomal RNA
Source: RNAcentral
UGGGGGAUAUUGCACAAUGGGCGAAAGCCUGAUGCAGCGACGCCGCGUGGGGGAUGAAGGCCUUCGGGUUGUAAACUUCUUUUGCUCUGAACAAGGCGCACCAUGGGGUGUGUUGAGUGUAGGGGUUGAUUAGCGCCGGCUAACAACGUGCCGGCAGCCGCGGUAAUACGUAGGGCGCGAGCGUUGUCCGGAAUUAUUGGGCGUAAAGGGCUUGUAGGUGGCUGGUUGCGUCUGUCGUGAAAGCUCAUGGCUUAACUGUGGGUUUGCGGUGGGUACGGGCUGGCUUGAGUGCAGUAGGGGAGGCUGGAAUUCCUGGUGUAGCGGUGGAAUGCGCAGAUAUCAGGAGGAAUACCGGUGGCGAAGGCGGGUCUCUGGGCUGUUACUGACACUGAGGAGCGAAAGCAUGGGGAGCGAACAGG